Molecule: long non-coding RNA, 791 nt
Filed under: Cricetulus griseus (Chinese hamster)
Lineage: Eukaryota; Metazoa; Chordata; Mammalia; Rodentia; Cricetidae
Description: lncRNA (ENSCGRG00015034470.1)
Source: RNAcentral
UUGGAAUGUAAAAAAUAAAUUAAUAAAAAAAAAACAGCCUGGGAACUGUCCCAGUAAGUAAAGUGCUUGCUACAUAAACAUGAGGGCCUGACUUUGAUCUCCAGAUCAAACUGGGCACAAUAGCAUGUGUCUGUAAUUCCAGUGCAAUUCCUCCAUAAGAGGAAUUGGAGGGGACAGAGACAGGAGAGUCCUUGGAAUCUUGAGAGCCAACUAGCUUUGUGUACACAUUUGCAAACCUUAAUAGACUGUGUCUCAAACAAGGUGGAAGAUGAAGUGUGACAUUCAGUGUCCUCGGACUUCUCUAUGUACACUGUUGGCAUGUGCACACAUACAUGUAUGUUUCAAAUAAAUUUAAGUAAAAGAUAAAAGAUAAGUGUUCAUAUUCUAUCUAGAUCCUUCUGGCAUCUGUGAAAUAGGACACUGAUGACUGACUUGGACUCGAAAGGUUGUAGGUGAGGCUAUUGGUGCCCUUCAAAUGACUGUUUGGAGAGCUCUGGACAGCUGUGAUGGUCAGAAGUUACACCUCUGUGCCUGAGGGACUUUUCAGAAAUGAUGCCUCCCUUCCUCCUGCCCUGAAGACUGUCAAAGUAUUGGCAAGAUAGAGAGAGUGGCCUCAACAAAUAAGUGAUGGAUGCUGGAAGCUAUGAGAAGAAAAUACUUAGGAGAUGACUUGUCCCUCUAUGAAGAAGCUGCCUUGGCAUGAAUACAUGACAUUAAAGUGAUUGGCGUUGACUUUGAACCCUUUCUGGAUUCUUGAGACGCGAAUGCAACACCUGGCCAGAGAACUGCGG